ACUGGAGGUAGGUGACUUUUUGAUUAUUGCUUAGGGGAGGGGGAAGUGUCCUGAAGGUAUUAACAUUGUUCCCCUUUGAACCAGCUUCCAUCUUCCCAACCCUAUUCAACUUCUGUCUUCUGGACCCCCCCCCCGCCCCCCCGCCCCAUUCACCUAUCUACACUAACUGCCUGACCUUUGUUCUUGCUUCAAAAUGUGAGCAGAAUUGCCAUGAGUCCCUUCACAGGAAGAAGUGUUAAAGGCUGGUAAGUGACUGACCACACUCUUUCCCUUUGAUGUGGUGACUGGAAAAGUUCAAGUUAUCUGGCAGUUGUUCAUUAGCCUGGGUCUUUGAGUGAAGAUCCAGCUGAUUCACAAUGGGCUAGUGGGGUGAGUAGGAAACUAAUCUUUGUUGUAUUUAGCUAGAUCCAGAAGUUAGCUGUCUAUGGUGACUCAUGCCUGUCAUCCCAGAGGCUCUGGAGGCUGAGGCAGGAGGAUCAGAAGUUCAAAGCCAGCCUCAGCAAUUUAGUGAGGCUAAGCAAUUCAGCGAGACCUUGUCUCUAAAUAAAAUAUUACAAAAAGGGGCUGGGGGACGUGGCUCAGUGGUUAAGCGCUCCCAGGUUCAAUACCCAGUACCAAACAAACAAAAAAACAACACACACACACACACACACACAAAAUUCAGAAGUCGUUUGUUACUGCAGCACAAGCUGUCCUGUGCAGACAGACUAGAAAUUCCUUAAGCACUUAUGCUUAACUCACCUUUCCAUCUCCUGUAGAACACAGAACAAUACUUCAUGGAUGUUCAAUAAUUAUUGCCAAUUGGUGAUAUGAACUGAGAUAAGGCAAAAUAUAUUAGACUGGAGAGUGAAACUUGUUAUCAGUAAUUCAACUUAAGACUUCAGUGUCUGAAAAACCCAAAUAUAUGUGCAAGAUGAUUCCAAUAACAUUCUUAUAUAUAUGAGGAGGCAGAAUAGUGCAAUGAAAGAAACUUGGGCUUUUGAGCCAAAUACAUCUGGGUUCAGGUACAAUCUCUUCUUCUAUGUAUGUGGCUGCAUAGCCAUGGGCAAGUUAUUGAAGAUCUUUGGGUACUAGUUUCCUCAUCUGUAACAGGGAUAAUAUCACCAACUACCACACAGAAUUAUUGUGAGAUUAAUGAGAGAAUGUAUUUAAAGUCCUUGGCAUGUCAUGAAUGGUCAACAGUUACUCUCUUAGGUCUCUUCUCACCAGAUGUGUGUGGGUUGGUGUUAACUCUUGCUUAACUCUCUGGGAACUCCUUCCUUUCAUUUACUCCCUCUGAGAUCUCCAUUACUUGCCUAGUCCCUGGAUUUAUUUAACUCAGUCUUCCUGUUCCUUAAAGUUUUGCUUUUGCUGCCUUAUGCAUAUUCUGUUCAUCCAUAACUGGCUGGAGUUGGCAGGAGCCAUUGGCAAAGGUCUCCAGUUGGGAGGACAGUAAUUUUAAGACAGGCUCUCUGCGGCCAAUUUUUUUUUUUUUGUACUAUGGAUUGAACUCAGGGGCACUUGAACACUGAGCCACAUCCCCAGCCCAAUUUUUUUUUGUAUUAUUAUUAAGAGACAGGGUCUCACUGAGUUGCUUAGUGCCUUGCUAAUUUGCUGAGGUUGGCUUUGAACUCGUGAUCCUCCUGCCUCUGUCUCCUGAACUGCUGAGAUUACAGGCAUGCACCACUGUGCCUGGCUCUUCUGUCAAUUUUAAACAGGGUCCUCAGUGUGAGAGGCAGAGCCAGGAAAGUGAAGGGAGGUGGUCUCCAUAGGGAGGAAAGAAUUUAGAAUGUCAUGGUGUCCAGGGACAGGAGAGUCCUUACUUUGCCCAGGCCUUAGCUGUAACAGCAGAAAAUUGAUCACCCUCUUGAACGUGGGUCUCACUAGUGAUGGCAGCAUGGAAGUCUUUGCAGUUGUUUUCAAUGACUGACUCCUUUGGGUCACAAGUUGGGGCUUGGUAUGUUGUCCCAAAGGCUGUGCUUUUUGGCCCAGGGUGUGUUGUGUUUAUGGGUGGGUGUAUUGUCCCUGAGUCCUUGAGGCCAUCUCCCUCCCACCUCCCUGCGUAGCAGCAGCUGUGAUGUGGCAUGUCCAACCACCCCAAAGGUGCUUGUGUAACUUGUUUUUCGAAGCCUUGGCAGGAGUUCUAGUCCUGAAGUGAGAAAGGAUGUUUACAUUCUGGAAGAGCAGUCCUGAGAAAUGUCUUGCAUGGGGGCUGUUCCUGAUCAACCCCGUCCCCCAGCAUGCCUAGCACCUUAUUUUUCUCUGGGAUGGUUUAUCACAGCCAUAGCCAUCAUCUUGGACCUGGAAGAAACAAACUGAGCAUGAAAAGAAAACAGGCUGCGGGGAAGCAUUGGCCAACUGUCCCAAGUUUACUGCCCUGUAGAAACGGCCUUUGCUGCAAAGGCAAGUGAAAUUCUCUAGGUCAAGGCCUUUGCUGCCAUGGUGCCUUGUGCCUGGCACAGAGCAAGGUGUCAGAGGCAGAUGCUCAAUAGACAUUCGCUGAGAAAAUGAAUUGUGAAAAUCUGUGGGCGAUGGAACAUUUCAGAGGACUCGCAGGUGGAAGUUCUUAACUGACACCUGGUUAACAGCUUCCUCUGAUGGGUACCUACAUUAUUAAUAACAAUGGUUGCUAUUUAUUAGAUACCCAGUCUGUGCCAAGAAGAGGCAUAUUUUAUUUCCUUUAAUUCCACAGUAGGAACAGUUCUACAAAUAGGUAACCAGCUCCCUAAUUAAUAGCUGAGAGCACGCAUGCUCAUGGGCACAGUUUGAGGAACUCGCCUGAUGUCACAGAGAAAGAAAACCAGGAUCCAAAGCCACCAACAUAGAGCACUUUCUGUGGCUCCCUUGCUGCCCCUCACCCCUGCUGGUCUCCAUGUCCUGCAACAGGCCAGGGCAGGGUUACCUAUAAAAGGGGUUCAGGCCCAUCCCACUCUCCUGCUGUGGUAGUUCUACUACUUUUUUUUUUUUCAUUUUUUUUCCUCUUGCAAAUAAAUAGGCUUGAAUCCCAGCUGCAAGGACCACGCCAGAUGCCCGCUUUGUCAUUCUUUCAAUUGCUCACCUGGCUUCAAGACCUUCCCUGCUCAGUCUGGCCACCCUCCCCUCUCAGCCUUCCUCGGGUGGCCACACCCAGCUUUCUUUCUUCCUAUCCUAUUCAGUCCUCUGGCUUCAAGGCCAGGUUUUCAUUUCGCUAUAUAAACCUUGCUUCAGGUGUUAUUUUAUGGACAGGCUCUAGAGGAAAAAAAAAAAAAAGCAGUCAAUAAAUAUGUGUUGAAUUGUGUGCUAAACUCUAGACAAAGAAAGGAAAAUCUUUGGAUCGCGAAGACGACAGAAAGGCUGCGGGUGGGGGCGGGGCAACCAUGAAUUUGACUCUUCCUCCUGCUCUCGGGGUCCUCUUUGGAUGCCUCCCUCCCACCCUGGGCCGGCCAGGCCGCCACCGCGUGUUUAGCCUUAGUGCUGUCAUCUGAUUACGGUAACAUCCAAACAGAUUGAAGCCCCAAAUCAAUGCCAGAGCAGAAGUGCACGCGCGGGGGGGUGGUUUCCUUGGAAAUGCUUCAGUUAUAAUUAACCUCCAAAGAGAGCCAUCCAAACAAGUUCCUUGACCCUCUGGGGAGAAGAAGGAACAAUGGAACUGCAAGGGAAGCCAUUUCUGCCAGCCGCGGGGGCGUGUGUGCCCGCGCCGGGUCCCACCUUCGCAGCGCACUGUCCAUAGAUGGCCUCUGACAGUCCCAGUAUUCAAACGUCGGGGCCGGGGGUUGGCGGCUGCGGUGCCUGCUGCUGCCACGGCUGAGAUCAUGCCGUUGGUCUUGUUUUACCGAGAGCAGCCCAGCCUGUUGUGCCGAGUACAGAACGUUCUCUUCUGUGAACUGAGCUUGAACUCUUCCAACCCACUUUGUUUGAGGAACCACACAGACACAGAAGAAAACGACAGGGAAGAUAACCCCCCAAAUCCUUGAAAUCCUGGUGUUCGCUGCACUUUGGGUUUGGGCCAUUCGCUUUGCACGACUCAGAAUGAAAAAAAUCCCAAGCAUUACACUUCUUGGAAGAACAAAAUGCUUGUGAUGUCCUUCUUCUAAGACAGGACUUGGCAUCCACUUUGGAAAUUAACAAGUCUGUCACUGUCUUUCUUCAAUUUCUUUCUUUUUUUUUUCCCCUUAGGCAUUCAAGGAACAACAACAAAUAAAAGCUAUUUUCCUAUAAAGGAAAGAUAAGCCCCUGGCGCUAGUGACUUCUCUCUCACUUGUUGGAGCUGUCACAAUAUUAUAGUGUUUACCACUUUGCUGUUAUGACUGCAGAGAGAUGACUGUGAGGGUCAUUGGCCUCCAUAUAAAUGACCAACGAGAGAAGCUGCUAAUGUUUGGUUAAAUGGUUUGAAAUUUCUCUCCAAGUCAAGUAUGUGGUGCACACCCGUUAAUCCCAGUGACUCAGGAGGCUGAGGCAGGAGGACUGCAAGUAGAGGCCAGCCACAGCAACUUGGCAAGACCCUGUCUCAAGAAAAUAAAAGGGUUGGGGGGGUGAUGCUCACCCUCAGGUGAAAGAGCACCCUCAGGCUCAAUCCCCAGCAUUACAUAAG
RNAcentral lists this long non-coding RNA (4549 nucleotides) under Marmota monax (woodchuck). Lineage: Eukaryota; Metazoa; Chordata; Mammalia; Rodentia; Sciuridae. The record is from RNAcentral.